Molecule: long non-coding RNA, 918 nt
Organism: Anolis carolinensis (green anole)
Lineage: Eukaryota; Metazoa; Chordata; Lepidosauria; Squamata; Anolidae
Exons: 2
Source: RefSeq, a predicted model, not a curated record
GUGGCAUGAAGGAGGAAGGCGAGGAGAACACGUGGCGGCGCCCUCUGCCUUGCAACCACGUGGGGUCUGCCCAUUUUGAACCUCUGGACUCAUCCAUGGUUUCAUCAAGAGUUAGAGUUAGAAACAGAUGAGGCGAUGGAUUUCGAGGGCAUUCCUGCUUCAGUUCCAAGCCCCAUGGCCUUACAGGUGCCGGAUAUUGUGAUAUUACAGGAUCCGCUAAUUGGCGAACAUUCCAAAGUCUCUCCAGUGUUACCCGUACCAGAUGGUACAGACGUGGGGGAGAAUGGAACUUUUAAUCGGAGAGACUUUGUUACAAAAGAUAGAAGCAGGAGACAAGGGGUGAGAAGAAGUCAAAGACUCGCUCUCAAAUUGGAUAAUGAUUAAAUUUCCCAUGAGAACUUUGUGGGUCCUGCACUCCCUAAUUCUUGCAGACUUGGGAUUCUGUUAAAAGUACUCCUCACUCUAUUCUCAUUGCGGUGUCAACUUUGCCUUUCCUCGGAAGAGGUUCCAGUUUCCAGUUCCUUGCCUUGUCUUCUGAAUCCGAGGUGCCGAGUUUCCAGUUUCAGGAGAGCCGCGUCGAGCCGCGACUCCCGAGUAGACCUUGCCUUGUUACCGCGACUUCCUUGUUCCUGAAUCGAGAUUGACUCAGCCUUGUUUACCUUGCUUCCUUGACUUUGCUAUGGGACUUUUCAAGUGGAUUUGCAGUGCUUUGAUUUCUGCUAUUGCUUCAUAGACAAACUUUGAUUUCUAAAGGAAGCUAUCGAGCUUCCCUUGUGGAUUAUAAAUUGGACAUUGAUAAACUUUUUCUGAAUUGCAAUAGACUAUAUAUUAUGGACUAUUUCUUACUCUGACUUUCCACCUUAAAUGCGUAUAGAUAUAUAUAUAUAUAUUCUGCUUCAAUAAACGGCUUGUGUGUUA